This 428-nucleotide ribosomal RNA is filed under the name uncultured bacterium. Its description in RNAcentral is "bacterial SSU rRNA". It matches the Rfam family "Bacterial small subunit ribosomal RNA", at positions 355 to 776 of the family's 1533-position model. The record is from RNAcentral.
UCGAGAAUUUUUCACAAUGGGCGAAAGCCUGAUGGAGCGACGCCGCGUGGGGGAUGAAGGGCUUCGGCCCGUAAACCCCUGUCAUUUGCGAACAAACCUCGCUAUUUAAAAGAUGGCGAGUUGAUGGUAGCGAAAGAGGAAGGGACGGCUAACUCUGUGCCAGCAGCCGCGGUAAUACAGAGGUCCCAAGCGUUGUUCGGAUUCACUGGGCGUAAAGGGUGCGUAGGUGGUGAGGUAAGUCGGAUGUGAAAGCUCCGAGCUCAACUCGGAAAUGGCAUUGGAAACUACCUUGCUCGAGGGUUUGAGGGGGGACUGGAAUACUUGGUGUAGCAGUGAAAUGCGUAGAUAUCAAGUGGAACACCAGUGGCGAAGGCGAGUCCCUGGAAAACUCCUGACACUGAGGCACGAAAGCUAGGGGAGCAAACAGG